RNAcentral lists this ribosomal RNA (808 nucleotides) under uncultured archaeon. RNAcentral's name for it is "bacterial SSU rRNA". It matches the Rfam family "Archaeal small subunit ribosomal RNA", at positions 59 to 852 of the family's 1478-position model. The record is from RNAcentral.
UUGAUGGGAUACCUAAAUUUCCCAUGGCAAACUGCUCAGUAACACAUGAUCAACUUACCCUAUAGAGAAAAAUAACCUCGGGAAACUGAGGAUAAUAUUUCAUAGUUGAAUAGGCUUGGAAAAGUUUUUCAAUAAAAGGGAUAAAAAAAAUGGUUUUUAUCUGCUAUAGGAUAGGAUCGUGGACGAUUAUGGUUGUUGGUGAGGUAACGGCUCACCAAGCCGAUAAUCGAUAGGGGCCGUGAGAGCGGGAGCCCCGAGAUGGGUACUGAGACAACGACCCAGGCCUUACGAGGCGCAGCAGGCGCGGAACCUCCGCAAUACACGAAAGUGUGACGGGGUUACCCAAAGUGUUCAAUUCUGAACUGUGGUAGGUGAGUAAUGUUCCCUACUAGAAAGGAGAGGGCAAGGCUGGUGCCAGCCGCCGCGGUAAAACCAGCUCUUCAAGUGGUCGGGAUAAUUAUUGGGCUUAAAGUGUCCGUAGCCGGUUUAGUAAGUUCCUGGUAAAAUCGGGUAGCUUAACUAUCCAUAUGCUAGGAAUACUGCUAUACUAGAGGGCGGGAGAGGUCUGAGGUACUACAGGGGUAGGGGUGAAAUCUUAUAAUCCUUGUAGGACCACCAGUGGCGAAGGCGUCAGACUGGAACGCGCCUGACGGUGAGGGACGAAAGCCAGGGGAGCGAACCGGAUUAGAUACCCGGGUAGUCCUGGCCGUAAACGAUGCAUACUAGGUGAUGGUACGGCCAUGAGCCGUAUCAGUGCCGUAGGGAAACCGUUAAGUGUGCCGCCUGGGAAGUACGGUCGCAAGGCUAA